CCCCUUUCUGGGUCACAACUUGAGAGUUUUCAGGACUCUACCAGUCUCGACUAUGGGAGGGAGAGUUAAGCAGAGGCAUAACCAUUCCAUUCCCAGCUUGGGCAGUGGCUAGUGAGUGGAAGGCAAUCUGCUACAAAU
Molecule: small nucleolar RNA, 138 nt
Organism: Ornithorhynchus anatinus (platypus)
Lineage: Eukaryota; Metazoa; Chordata; Mammalia; Monotremata; Ornithorhynchidae
Source: RefSeq, a predicted model, not a curated record